RNAcentral lists this ribosomal RNA (253 nucleotides) under uncultured bacterium. RNAcentral's name for it is "partial 16S ribosomal RNA". It matches the Rfam family "Bacterial small subunit ribosomal RNA", at positions 524 to 776 of the family's 1533-position model. The record is from RNAcentral.
UACGUAGGGUGCGAGCGUUGUCCGGAAUUACUGGGCGUAAAGAGCUCGUAGGUGGUUUGUCGCGUUGUUCGUGAAAACUCACGGCUUAACUGUGGGCGUGCGGGCGAUACGGGCAGACUGGAGUACUGCAGGGGAGACUGGAAUUCCUGGUGUAGCGGUGGAAUGCGCAGAUAUCAGGAGGAACACCGGUGGCGAAGGCGGGUCUCUGGGCAGUAACUGACGCUGAGGAGCGAAAGCGUGGGGAGCGAACAGG